This 375-nucleotide ribosomal RNA is filed under the name uncultured bacterium. RNAcentral's name for it is "bacterial SSU rRNA". It matches the Rfam family "Bacterial small subunit ribosomal RNA", at positions 28 to 404 of the family's 1533-position model. The record is from RNAcentral.
AAUCAACGCUGGCGGCGUGCCUAACACAUGCAAGUCGAGCGGUAAGGCCCUUUCGGGGGUACACGAGCGGCGAACGGGUGAGUAACACGUGGGUGACCUGCCCUCAGCUCUGGGAUAAGCCUGGGAAACCGGGGUCUAAUACCGGAUAUGACUCCAUGACGCAUGUUGUGGGGUGGAAAGCCUUGUGCGGCUGAGGAUGGGCCCGCGGCCUAUCAGCUUGUUGGUGGGGGAUGGCCUACCAAGGCGACGACGGGUAGCCGGCCUGAGAGGGCGACCGGCCACACUGGGACUGAGACACGGCCCAGACUCCUACGGGAGGCAGCAGUGGGGAAUCUUGCGCAAUGGGCGAAAGCCUGACGCAGCGACGCCGCGUGA